UACGUAGGGCGCAAGCGUUAUCCGGAAUUACUGGGCGUAAAGGGCUCGUAGGUGGCCAACUAAGUCAGACGUGAAAUCCCUCGGCUUAACCGGGGAACUGCGUCUGAUACUGGAUGGCUUGAGUUUGGGAGAGGAAUGCGGAAUUCCAGGUGUAGCGGUGAAAUGCGUAGAUAUCAGGAGGAACACCGAUGGCGAAGGCAGGUCUCUGGGCCAUAACUGACGCUGAGAAGCGAAAGCAUGGGGAGCGAACAGG
RNAcentral lists this ribosomal RNA (253 nucleotides) under uncultured bacterium. Its description in RNAcentral is "partial 16S ribosomal RNA". It matches the Rfam family "Bacterial small subunit ribosomal RNA", at positions 524 to 776 of the family's 1533-position model. The record is from RNAcentral.